Eptesicus fuscus (big brown bat) is the source of this 513-nucleotide non-coding RNA. Lineage: Eukaryota; Metazoa; Chordata; Mammalia; Chiroptera; Vespertilionidae. The record is from the annotation of a RefSeq genome assembly.
AUGGCCUGGACCCUUGUCCUGCUCCCCCUCCUCUCUCUCUGCACAGGCCCAGUGGUCUCCUACGAGCUGACCCAGCCACCCUCCGUGUCAGUGGCCCCGGGAGAGACGGUCAAGAUUACGUGCUCCGGAGAUUUACUAGGGAAAAAAUACGCAUCUUGGUUCCAACAGAAGCCGGGCCAGGCCCCCGAGCUGAUCAUUUAUAAGUAUAGUGAGCGGCCCUCAGGGAUCCCUGACCGGUUCUCAGGCUCCAACUCGGGGAACACGGUCACCCUGACCAUCAGCGGGGCCAGGGCUGAGGACGAGGCCGACUAUCACUGUCAGUCAUGGGACAGCGAUGGCAUUCCGUACAGUGACACAAGCAGAUGGGGAAGUGGGACAAAAAUCCCGUCCCCAUCUCAGCAUUUCCUGGAGGCCCCUCGAGGUGCUACGCAGCUGCCAAAGAACCCAACUGAUGACCUGGAAAUCCCCCUUACGGUGCCUGAUAACACAUCACUCCUGCCCCCAAAGCUCUGA